This 549-nucleotide ribosomal RNA is filed under the name Triticum aestivum (bread wheat). RNAcentral's name for it is "partial small subunit ribosomal RNA". Lineage: Eukaryota; Viridiplantae; Streptophyta; Magnoliopsida; Poales; Poaceae. The record is from RNAcentral.
AUGUUAUUAAUUUUAGGAGGGGUGAAACCAUUGUUUAUCCCUAUUGUGUGGAAACUAGUUGUACCUCCAAAAAUUCACGUCUUCCUUUGGUUGUUUCCUCAUAACAAGUUGUUGACAAGGGAUAACCUUAGGAAAAGGCACAUCAUCAAACCCCUUGAUUAUGUGUCCUGUGCUGAGAAUGAAACCAGCUUCCGUUUGUUGUUUGAAUGUGUGGUAGCUACGAAUAUUUGGCCUUUCAUUGAAGAUUUCUUCCAAAUUCAGAUAGGUGCAAACUUUGAGUCUGUUGCACGCUUCUGGGUUACUAGUAAGAAGAACUCUGCUUUAAAUACCAUUAGUACUGUUGUCUUAUGGUGUUUGUGGAAAUAUAGGAACUCUAUAAUUUUUAACAACACUAUUUGGACUUCUAUGACUCAGGUUUGGAGCUUGUUGAUUAGAAUGCUCAAAGUCCGGUUUGUCCUGUCGCCGGAAGCGGAGAGAGCAAAACUGGAGAGUUUCCUGAGCUCACUAACAAGUUUUUCUCGACAACCUCUGAGAAUCCGGAGUGGCUGA